RNAcentral lists this ribosomal RNA (222 nucleotides) under uncultured bacterium. RNAcentral's name for it is "partial 16S ribosomal RNA". It matches the Rfam family "Bacterial small subunit ribosomal RNA", at positions 1282 to 1500 of the family's 1533-position model. The record is from RNAcentral.
ACCGUCCCAGUUCGGAUUGCAGGCUGCAACCCGCCUGUAUGAAGUUGGAAUCGCUAGUAAUCGCGGAUCAGCAUGCCGCGGUGAAUACGUUCCCGGGCCUUGUACACACCGCCCGUCACACCAUGAGAGUCGGGAACACCCGAAGUCCGUAGUCUAACUUUCACGAGAGGACGCGGCCGAAGGUGGGUUCGAUAAUUGGGGGUGAAGUCGUAACAAGGUACC